GCCUCAGUAGCUCAGCUCGGUAGAGCAACGCUCUUGUAAAGCGAAGGUCAGCGGUUCGAAUCCGCUCUGAGGCU
This 74-nucleotide transfer RNA is filed under the name Chthonomonadales bacterium. RNAcentral's name for it is "tRNA-Thr". It matches the Rfam family "tRNA". From Rfam's summary of the family: Transfer RNA (tRNA) molecules are approximately 80 nucleotides in length. Their secondary structure includes four short double-helical elements and three loops (D, anti-codon, and T loops). Lineage: Bacteria; Bacillati; Armatimonadota; Chthonomonadia; Chthonomonadales. The record is from RNAcentral.